RNAcentral lists this non-coding RNA (30 nucleotides) under Mus musculus (house mouse). The record is from RNAcentral. Lineage: Eukaryota; Metazoa; Chordata; Mammalia; Rodentia; Muridae.
UGAAAUUUUAUUUUACUUUCCUUUUGCAAU